UCCGGGCCAGCCGGGACCGAGCCUUCGCCGGAUAAUCGAAAACACGGAUAAUCCAAAGACUCAUUUUUAUUUUUUUAAUACAUAAUUUAUUUAAACAAAUACAUGUGCCAGACGAAAAGAAACAACGUGAUAAAACAUAAUGCAACAAAAAAAAAUGUUUUAUUACCUAUUUAGACAUAAUGUAUUUGCUAUGUUAUACAUACAUAUUAUAUUACAUAUUAUAUGUAUAUACAUACAUAUGUACAUAUAUAAAAAAAUCACU
Anthonomus grandis grandis is the source of this 262-nucleotide long non-coding RNA. RefSeq lists it as uncharacterized. The transcript has 2 exons. The record is from RefSeq and is a predicted model, not a curated record. NCBI's taxonomy places the organism in Eukaryota, Metazoa, Arthropoda, Insecta, Coleoptera, Curculionidae.